Molecule: long non-coding RNA, 2139 nt
Filed under: Piliocolobus tephrosceles (Ugandan red Colobus)
Lineage: Eukaryota; Metazoa; Chordata; Mammalia; Primates; Cercopithecidae
Description: lncRNA (ENSPTEG00000020034.1)
Source: RNAcentral
AUGACAAAAAGUAUAGAUUUUUUCAAAAUAGAAAAGGAAAUCAACGAAUAUAAAAUAAAGCAAGAAGAAACAUUUGACUUUUAUAUAAGUAGUAUUAAUAAUUUAUUAGAUAAAGUUAAAAGAGCUAAGUUAAGUAUAGAACAGAAAAUAAAUAAAAAAACAGAUGUUAACAAUAAAGAAAGCUAUGUUAGUCAUAAAAGCCUAGAAGUAGCAAGUAGUCCGAACAAUUUGACUGAUGUUUCUGAAACAAAACAUAUUGAAACGGACAAAAAUUGUGAUUAUUACAAUUCGCAUACAAACAUAGUGAGAGAAAAUGGCAUACAUAAAUAUAACACAUAUGAACACAUUUUACAUAACUAUAACGAACUCGCUUGUAAUUACGACAUUAAGGAUUUUAUAAAAGAAGUUUCUAGCUUAAAUAUGACUAAAAAAAUAAUUGAAGAAAAUAAAAAAUUUUAUUAUAUAUUAUUAUCAUCCUAUAAAGGAAUAAUAUCGUUAAUAAAAGAAAGUGCACCUGAUGUUUUUAAUAAUAUUAAUAUAAAAAAAAAUAUUAUAUUAAGACUAAUUUUAUUACAUUUUUUACAAACAGGUGACUUCUUUAUGUAUUAUGUAUUAAAUAAAGAAAUAUUAGAUAAAAAGAAAAAAAAAUUCAACAAAGAUAAUAAAUUACAAGAUAAAUCGAUUGCAAAUGCACUAGUUAACAGUACGCGUGAUAAUGAUACCGGCAAUGCUCUGAUUACUAGUAAUAGUAUUAUUGACAAUAGUAUCAGAAACAAUAUUAAUAAAAACAGUAACAACAUAACGGAUUAUACAAACAAAUCUAACAGCACAGAGUCUGGAGUAGUUCUCCAAACAAAUCAAAACUUUGUACAAAAUGGCAAUAUACAACCCUUGAAUAGUGUUAAUAUUUUUGACCAAAACAAAAGAAUAUGUAAUAAAAAUGACAUAUCGUAUUAUGAAAGUAGAAAAACAGAAAAGCAGACAUAUUGUGAGCACAUUUGUAACACCGGGAAAACAUAUACCGGUUGCAAUAAAUGCGAAAACAAGAGCAGUGACAGUAUUUUUUUUAAUAAUGUUACAGAAAAAAAGGGAGCAACUAAAAACGGAGCAGCUAAAAACGGAAUAGCUGAAAAUGGAAUAGCUGAAAAUGGAAUAGCUAAAGAAAAAGAAGAAAAUAAUAUACUAAACUGGAAUGAAAAAAUAGAGGCAUACGAAGUGAAUGGUAUUUAUUCUGUACUUCUUAAUAAGAUAAAAAAGUGCACACCCAACAAAGCACAUACGAUGGGUAGUACUGUAACAGAUAGUAUGACUCCAUCCGGUAAUAACAACCACAAUGCAAAUUUGUUUAAAGAACUAAAAAAACAAUACAUACAAAAAAUAAGGUACGAAAACAAAUGCGAACAUAUAGAUAUAAAACACGCAUUAGUAGAAAAAGAAAUAUUUGAAGGAUAUAAACAGUUACAUAUAUUUUUAUAUAAUUUAAAAGAAUUAAAUGCGUUUAUAUGUAUAGAUUGGUUUUAUAAUUGUAGUGAGCCUAUAAAAAAAAAAUAUUCCAAAUUAAUAUAUUUGUUACAUUGUGUGAAUUAUUUGAAAUAUUUAAAACAUGAUAAUUUAAAAGCGUUAAACUAUUUAAGAGAGCUUACGAAAAAAUUUAGUGAGAAUAAACAACAUAUUGCUAAGUUAAGUACUUUUAUUUGUAUAGGUUCGGACAACUGUUUUUACAAACAAGUGUUUGCAAAUGUAUAUUCAAAAGCUUUUAUUUAUUUUAAACAGGCUUUUAAUGAAGAAGGUAUAGUUAUAAAUACGCCCUAUUCAAAAGGGGGAAAAACGACAUGCGAUGAUAAAUCAAAUAAUAAUAACAAUAAUAACAGUAAUAACAGUAAUAAUAAUAAAAAAAGAAAAACGAAAAAAAAAAAAGGAUAUAGUGUAAGUAGCGAAAGUGACGAAAAUGACGAAAAUGACGAAAAUGACGAAAAUGACGAAAAUGACGAAGUAAACAAAAAAACAAAAAAAAAAGAAGGUCAAAAAAAAAAACAAAAAAGAAAAACAACGAGUUUUAGGCACAGUAAUAGUAACGAAUUGAGUACGGAAGAUACAAAAAAAUUUUCAGAAAAAAAGAAAAAAAAAAAAAAAAAGUAA